This 420-nucleotide ribosomal RNA is filed under the name uncultured bacterium. RNAcentral's name for it is "bacterial SSU rRNA". It matches the Rfam family "Bacterial small subunit ribosomal RNA", at positions 362 to 774 of the family's 1533-position model. The record is from RNAcentral.
UAUUGGACAAUGGGGGAAACCCUGAUUCAGCCAUGCCGCGUGUGUGAAGCAGGCCCUUUGGUUGUAAAGCACUUUAAGCAGUGAAGAAUACUCCGUGGUUAAUACCCCCGGACGAUGACAUUAGCUGCAGAAUAAGCACCGGCUAACUCUGUGCCAGCAGCCGCGGUAAUACAGAGGGUGCAAGCGUUAAUCGGAAUUACUGGGCGUAAAGCGAGCGUAGGUGGCUUGAUAAGUCAGAUGUGAAAUCCCCGAGCUUAACCUGGGAACUGCAUCUGAUACUGUUAGGCUAGAAUAGGUGAGAGGAAGGUAGAAUUCCAGGUGUAGCGGUGAAAUGCGUAGAGAUCUGGAGGAAUACCGAUGGCGAAGGCAGCCUUCUGGCAUCAUAUUGACACUGAGGUUCGAAAGCGUGGGUAGCAAACA